GCCGGAGAAGAGUGGCGAAACUGACGAGGGAGCCGGCAGGAGCCCCGAGGAGGAGCCCAGAGAGAGGGCCAGCUGGAACCACCGGUGAGGAAAAAGCAGCAAGUGAGUCUGUGUGCUGUGAAUGAGGUGAAGCUUUAGGAAUGCGGAAGAUGGUAUAACAUAAUUGGAAUGUGAAAGAACAACACAUAAUUGGUAACAGAAUCUGAGAUGAAUGUAUGUGAAAAGGUGAAUGGUGAUUGGUGAAGAAGCUUCCAGGUUUUGGUCAAAGUCCACCCAUUGACUGAAGAAGUAAGUUCAAGGCCUUGGACAUGCACUCAUAGGAAAAAAGCAAGUAAAUGAAUGAAAUGUAUGGGCAAUUCCAUGUUAAUGAAGCAAAUAAUAAACAGAGGCAGAGCUUGAAAUAGGAGAUAUGGGUGGAACAUAGGAUGAGCAAGGGUAGAAUGAAUGGUAAUGAGCAUAAACCAAAAAUGUAUAAACUGUGUAGAAAACUUUGUUCAAUGCAGGUCCCCUGGUUCACGGGCUGUGUGUCUGGGGGAUGCUUGUCUGAAGCUGUCUCCAUUUUGAAUAAAGCUCUUGCUAGCAAUGUG
Alligator mississippiensis (American alligator) is the source of this 587-nucleotide long non-coding RNA. RefSeq lists it as uncharacterized. The transcript is spliced from 2 exons. Lineage: Eukaryota; Metazoa; Chordata; Crocodylia; Alligatoridae. The record is from RefSeq and is a predicted model, not a curated record.